Molecule: ribosomal RNA, 348 nt
Filed under: uncultured eukaryote
Lineage: Eukaryota
Description: bacterial SSU rRNA
Rfam family: Eukaryotic small subunit ribosomal RNA
Source: RNAcentral
AUAGCGUAUAUUAAAGUUGUUGCAGUUAAAAAGCUCGUAGUUGAACUUCAGAUUUGGUCGGGUGGUCCGCUUAACGGCGUGUUACUGCUUGGCUGGGUCUUGUCUCUUGGUGAACCAUUGUGCCCUUUAUUGGUGUGCUUUGGGGAACCAGGACUUUUACCUUGAGAAAAUUAGAGUGUUCAAAGCAGGCCUAUGCCUGGAUACAUUAGCAUGGAAUAAUAGAAUAGGACGUGUGGUUCUAUUUUGUUGAUUUCUAGAAUUGCCGUAAUGAUUAAUAGGGAUAGUUGGGGGCAUUCGUAUUUCAUAGUCAGAGGUGAAAUUCUUGGAUUUAUGAAAGACGAACAACUG